Molecule: long non-coding RNA, 380 nt
Filed under: Cyanistes caeruleus (blue tit)
Lineage: Eukaryota; Metazoa; Chordata; Aves; Passeriformes; Paridae
Description: lncRNA (ENSCCEG00000012511.1)
Source: RNAcentral
CAGAGGGUGACACUGAAAACAUUGCUGAUACUGCAAGAGGGGAGAAAGGAUGAUAUAUGUCUAAGAAAUCCAUGAAAGAAGUCUGAAAUUGCAGCGUGAAUUCCAAAGACUUCACAGAAGGGAAGACAGGCAGCUGAAAAACUCUAAGAGAAAAGGAAAACAGAAAGGGUCCUAAGAGCUAAUUGACCAAAGCCAUGGAAAACAAAAUGAGGUCACUCAUAGCACAGACACUUUGUGCCUGGGCCCUGUUUGCACCUAACAUCGGUAAAACUGUCUUUUCUUAAAAGAUGCAAGUAUUGGGAAGUGGCAAAGAAGACCUUCGAAGGCUUAGGUAAGAAGUCCUCAUUUCAUAUAAGAACUCACAUCCUUUCCUGUGAAAU